Molecule: ribosomal RNA, 735 nt
Filed under: Vibrio sp.
Lineage: Bacteria; Pseudomonadati; Pseudomonadota; Gammaproteobacteria; Vibrionales; Vibrionaceae
Description: bacterial SSU rRNA
Rfam family: Bacterial small subunit ribosomal RNA
Source: RNAcentral
UAACGGCGUCGAGCGUAGGACGGGUGAGUAAUGCCUAGGGAAAUUGCCUUGAUGUGUGCGCGCAUAACCAUUGUGUAAACGAUGGCUAAUACCGCAUAAUGCCUACGGGCCAAAGAGGGGGACCUUCGGGCCUCGUCGCUGUCAAGAUAUGCCUAGGUGGCGAUUAGCUAGUUGGUGAGGUAAUGGCUCACCAAGGCGACGAUCCCUAGCUGGUCUGAGAGGAUGAUCAGCCACACUGGAACUGAGACACGGUCCAGACUCCUACGGGAGGCAGCAGUGGGGAAUAUUGCACAAUGGGCGAAAGCCUGAUGCAGCCAUGCCGCGUGUGUGAAGAAGGCCUUCGGGUUGUAAAGCACUUUCAUGUUGUGAGGAAGGGGGUGUACGUUAAUAGCGGGCUCUCUUGACGUUAGCUGCAGUAAGAAGCACCGGCUAACUCCGUGCCAGCAGCCGCGGUAAUACGGAGGGUGCGAGCGUUAAUCGGAAUUACUGGGCGUAAAGCGCAUGCAGGUGGUUCAUUAAGUCAGAUAGUGAAAAGCCCGGGGCUCAACCUCGUGAACUGCAUUUGAAACUGGUGAACUAUGAGUACUGUAGAGGGGGGGGUAGAAUUUCAGGUGUAGCGGGUGAAAUGCGUAGAGAUCUGAAAGGAAUACCAGUGGGCGAAAGCGGCCCCCUGGAACAGAUACUGACACUCAGUAUGCGAAAGCGUGGGGGAGCAAACAGGGAUUAGAUACCCUG